AUUGAACGCUGGCGGCAGGCCUAACACAUGCAAGUCGAAUGGUAACAGGAAACAGCUUGCUGUUUCGCUGACGAGUGGCGGACGGGUGAGUAAUGUCUGGGAAACUGCCUGAUGGAGGGGGAUAACUACUGGAAACGGUAGCUAAUACCGCAUAACGUCGCAAGACCAAAGAGGGGGACCUUCGGGCCUCUUGCCAUCAGAUGUGCCCAGAUGGGAUUAGCUAGUAGGUGGGGUAACGGCUCACCUAGGCGACGAUCCCUAGCUGGUCUAAGAGGAUGACCAGCCACACUGGAACUGAGACACGGUCCAGACUCCUACGGGAGGCAGCAGUGGGGAAUAUUGCACAAUGGGCGCAAGCCUGAUGCAGCCAUGCCGCGUGUAUGAAGAAGGCCUUCGGGUUGUAAAGUACUUUCAGCGGGGAGGAAGGGAGUAAAGUUAAUACCUUUGCUCAUUGACGUUACCCGCAGAAGAAGCACCGGCUAACUCCGUG
RNAcentral lists this ribosomal RNA (490 nucleotides) under uncultured bacterium. RNAcentral describes it as "partial 16S ribosomal RNA". It matches the Rfam family "Bacterial small subunit ribosomal RNA", at positions 30 to 507 of the family's 1533-position model. The record is from RNAcentral.